RNAcentral lists this ribosomal RNA (526 nucleotides) under uncultured bacterium. Its description in RNAcentral is "bacterial SSU rRNA". It matches the Rfam family "Bacterial small subunit ribosomal RNA", at positions 777 to 1301 of the family's 1533-position model. The record is from RNAcentral.
AAUAGAUACCCAGGUAGUCCACGCCGUAAACGAUGAGUGCUAAGUGUUAGAGGGUUUCCGCCCUUUAGUGCUGCAGCUAACGCAUUAAGCACUCCGCCUGGGGAGUACGGCCGCAAGGCUGAAACUCAAAGGGAUUGACGGGGGCCCGCACAAGCGGUGGAGCAUGUGGUUUAAUUCGAAGCAACGCGAAGAACCUUACCAGGUCUUGACAUCCUCUGACAACCCUAGAGAUAGGGCUUUCCCCUUCGGGGGACAGAGUGACAGGUGGUGCAUGGUUGUCGUCAGCUCGUGUCGUGAGAUGUUGGGUUAAGUCCCGCAACGAGCGCAACCCUUGAUCUUAGUUGCCAGCAUUCAGUUGGGCACUCUAAGGUGACUGCCGGUGACAAACCGGAGGAAGGUGGGGAUGACGUCAAAUCAUCAUGCCCCUUAUGACCUGGGCUACACACGUGCUACAAUGGAUGGUACAAAGGGCUGCAAACCUGCGAAGGUAAGCGAAUCCCAUAAAGCCAUUCUCAGUUCGGAUUGC